Long non-coding RNA from Antechinus flavipes (yellow-footed antechinus), 2297 nucleotides. RefSeq lists it as uncharacterized. The record is from RefSeq and is a predicted model, not a curated record. NCBI's taxonomy places the organism in Eukaryota, Metazoa, Chordata, Mammalia, Dasyuromorphia, Dasyuridae. The transcript is spliced from 2 exons.
CUGUCUUCUCUCUCUCUCUCUCUCUUUCUCUCUUUCUUCCACAUUUCUCAUUUUCUUCUUCAUUUGGGAAUCUCUUUUUUUCUUCUAAGGAAUGUUUCUUAUCCUUUGACUUUGUGAGCUAGCCUUUUAGCACUCUUUUGUUUGAAUUAUUUGCCUUAAUAUAAAAUUUUGUUUAUGAUUUUCCUCACUCCCUGGCCCCGCCCCAGCAGUAGUUAAUGGCUUAUUGCCAAACUCUCCCUGUUUACUUUCUGCUAAAGUGUUACCGAAUCUUGUGACUGCAUUUUCUGUUCCCCUUGUAACCACAACUUCUCUAAUUUUUUUUCCUAUUGUAACCACCAAACUCAGAGAAUUUCAAAGUUCACUUUAGUUUGAACAACGGAGAAUAUUUGAUUGAUUUCUUUUUUGGCCAUAUUAAAAACUCCAUUCAACCAACUAAAGCUGAAUUUUAAAUUCAAACCUGUUCUAUCCAACGACUGGAUCUGUUGCUGGGUCUCCUAUUGUUAUUUACCUUCCUUAACAGGGUUAGGUGAGAAGAGAUAAUCACACUAAUGGGGACUGUUCAAGUGUUGCUGCUGGGAUUUUGGAUGACUAUGUUUCUGAUCACUGCAGCACUUCCCUCUGGUUUCACUCCUGCUCAGUGGUUCAAUAAACAACAUGUGCAGUAUCCCAAGACCAAAGCCUCCAGUGACAAUAUAUAUUGCAACAAUGAAAUGAGACAAAUCAACAACCACACCCAUCAAUGUAAGUUUUUCAACACAUUUCUGAAUUACAUGCUUGAGAAUAUCAUCAAGAUUUGUUUCACAACCAAUAUCACCUGUAAGAAUCCAGCAUACAAGAACUGUCAUAAAAGUACAUCAACCAUUCCUGUCACCAACUGUGAAUUGACCAGUGGUCAUUAUCCCGACUGUAGCUACCGUGGCACUUCUAAAAUGGCAUACUUUAUUAUUGCCUGCAAUCCUCCCUUGCCAGCAGAUCAUAGUAGAAGUGAGUUGCUUCCAGUGCAUUUAGACAAAUCUUCUUGAUUUCUACCCUCCCACUAUUUUGCUCUUUUGCUUCAAGAGGCACUAUGGAAAUCUGUUCUCUUGUCUUUGUUCCUCUCCAAAUCUCCAGAAUCCUAUCUUUCUCUUCUAUUAACUUAUCAGAAUUUCUUCUGAAAAAGGUUGCUUUUUAAAAAAAAAUGGAACUCAGCUUACCUUUCUGGAUGGCUUUAUCAGGGCAUAGGAUUCCCUUAUUACUCUUUAACCUGAUACUCUUUGGUGAAAUUGACCUUCCUUAUUGCCCACCCUAGCAAUGAUGUGGAAUGAAAUAGUCAUUUUUCCCCAUUAUCUCUUUAUCUGAUCUGUCUUGCUUAACAUCUUAGAUACAGGUAGAAAGAAAGGGAGGAGAUAGAUAAGUAUCCUUUUAUUCUAGCUUCUUAUCAUUUCUUCACUAUGCUGCUUACACUCCUUUCUUCAUCCUCCAACAAUGUCUUUUUCCACCUCUGGGUAUUCUGACUCUAGGUACUAUUCCCUCAUAUUUCCUGUACUAUAGUUUUGUCUUUUAAAAUAUAAGCUCCUUGAGGGCAAGGAUUAUUUUCUUUGCUUAUGCUUUUAUGCUCAGUAAAUGGCACCUAGUAAUUGCUCAAUAAUUGCUUUUAUAAACCUGGAAAAAUUUGCAUGAACUGAUGUAGAGUGAAGUGAGCAGAACCAGAACAACAAUGUACAUAGUAACAGUAAUACUGUAUGAACUGUAUGAACUACUAUGAAUGACUUAGCUAUUCUCAGCAAGACAAUAAUUCAAACAAUUGCAAAGGACUCAUGAUGAAAAAUGUCAUCCAUCUCUAUAGAAAGAACUGAUCGCAUCUGAAUAUGGCUUAAAGCAAACUAUUUUUCUCUUUGUCUCUCUAUUUUUUCUUCUCUCUUUCUUUGUCUCUUUCUCCACACAAAUGACUAAGAUAGAAAUAAGUUUAAAUGAUUGUACCUGUAUAGCAUUUAUCAGAUUACUUACUGUUUCAAGAAGGGAAAAGGGGGAGGAAGGAAGGGAUAGAAUCUAGAACUCAAAAUUGAAUGUUAAAAUUAUUUUUAUAUAUAGUAUGGAGAAAAUAUUUCUAAAAUUGCUUUUAUGUUUAUAAUCUAUGUAGAAUAUAUCCAGCUAUAUUGUUAUCUAAUUCUGAGAAUGGAAGAAAUUAAUGUUUUUCCUGACUUAAUAUGCCACAGAUGAAGGUGGGAAUGAGGUUUAUCUUCUGCAAGGUAUACUGCAAGAGUUGGACUAAGUCAUGUAUUUUGUGCUGGUUUCAAUAAAUGCCUUGUUUCAUACAA